ACUGCCGGCGAGAGCGUGGGGCCCGGCUCAUCCCCACCUGGCCCGGGGCCCGCUGGAGACGCAGCAGGGGGACGCUCGGCCUCCGGCUAGGGUGGGGAAAGGGACGCUGUCCCCUGGAGGAAAGCCGGGGAGUCAAAGUUAAUGGUGCUGUGCUUCAAAUGGAGUGCUGACUGCCUCUCAGGCCCCGCUGUCUUCACCCAGAAAACAAUAAGCUUAAGGAAGAAGGCGAGCAGCCUGUAAUUAUUAUCAAGGAGAAAACAGUUCUAACAUCCAAAGUAAGAAGAUUUGAGCGCAUGGCUCUUUUAAAAAAUAUGUUAAAUUAAGAAACCUCACUUCCUGACUUUAUAUUAAUAAUAUUAACCCAUUUUCUAUCAGAAGAGUUGCAAGUAUUUUUCCCAGGAUGCAGUUGACCUUUCAUUUUGCUUUUGGUGUUCUCUGGUGGGAGAUUUUUGUCGGUUAUAAAGCAAAUCUCUCUUAUGCCCCUGAUGAGUGAUAAUGCAUCUAUUGUUUCACUAUAAUGGUUAAGAGGUUUCCUGCCUUAGUUCCUGCAUUUAAUAUCUGUACAAAGUAGAAGU
Molecule: long non-coding RNA, 575 nt
Organism: Equus quagga
Lineage: Eukaryota; Metazoa; Chordata; Mammalia; Perissodactyla; Equidae
Exons: 3
Source: RefSeq, a predicted model, not a curated record